This 298-nucleotide long non-coding RNA is filed under the name Solanum tuberosum (potato). RNAcentral's name for it is "long non-coding RNA (STUB_LNC001027)". Lineage: Eukaryota; Viridiplantae; Streptophyta; Magnoliopsida; Solanales; Solanaceae. The record is from RNAcentral.
UUCUUUCGUAAUCCCCCUUGGAGUAACCAAGCUCCCUCCGUGAAACCUCAAACUCAGCUUCACGCCCCCUAAAUUCAUUAUCCCUGUAACCACCAUGUCUUCCAGCAGCCAUGUAAACGUCUGUAUCAAAGAAAACCCUAAAUUCACCUAUAAACCCUAACCCUAAUUUCACAAAUAAAAUCAGCAAACCCAACAAACCCUAGCUCGAUGAAAAAUCGAGUUAUUUGAAAACUCAAUAGCAGAUCUGGUAAAAACUAAUCAAAAUAUAUAAAAAUCAAUUGAAAUUUUUUUCCCNNNN